AUCAGCCUUUUGGGUGUGAUUUUGUGGAGCGUGAGGAGUUAAACGCCUUCAUGCCUGCAUAUUCGUGCACUUUGGGUGUACUUGCCCGUGUGGUUGGAUAACAUCCAUUUUGGUUAUCAAAAAAUGACUGGAGGAAUGUAGCUUCGAUCUCGUAUUGAAGUGUUAUAGCCUUCGGUAGAUGUGAUGAUCGAGAUUGAGGAUUGCAACGGAUACCCUUCGGGGCUACCUGUCUGGUCUCUGAUCGUUGCUCUGGUGCCGAAAGCUUGCUUACGGUUAUCAAAGUCGAUGGUCAAUAGGUUAGAACGGGUUAAAUUCGUUAAGGAUGUUGACGUAAUGGCUUU
This 341-nucleotide ribosomal RNA is filed under the name uncultured Glomeromycotina. RNAcentral describes it as "eukaryotic LSU rRNA". Lineage: Eukaryota; Fungi; Glomeromycota. The record is from RNAcentral.